Molecule: ribosomal RNA, 620 nt
Filed under: Trichoderma virens
Lineage: Eukaryota; Fungi; Ascomycota; Sordariomycetes; Hypocreales; Hypocreaceae
Description: eukaryotic LSU rRNA
Rfam family: 5.8S ribosomal RNA (bases 235-388)
Source: RNAcentral
UUCCGGUAGGGGUGACCUGCGGAGGGAUCAUUACCGAGUUUACAACUCCCAAACCCAAUGUGAACGUUACCAAACUGUUGCCUCGGCGGGAUCUCUGCCCCGGGUGCGUCGCAGCCCCGGACCAAGGCGCCCGCCGGAGGACCAACCAAAACUCUUAUUGUAUACCCCCUCGCGGGUUUUUUUACUAUCUGAGCCAUCUCGGCGCCCCUCGUGGGCGUUUCGAAAAUGAAUCAAAACUUUCAACAACGGAUCUCUUGGUUCUGGCAUCGAUGAAGAACGCAGCGAAAUGCGAUAAGUAAUGUGAAUUGCAGAAUUCAGUGAAUCAUCGAAUCUUUGAACGCACAUUGCGCCCGCCAGUAUUCUGGCGGGCAUGCCUGUCCGAGCGUCAUUUCAACCCUCGAACCCCUCCGGGGGGUCGGCGUUGGGGAUCGGCCCUUUACGGGGCCGGCCCCGAAAUACAGUGGCGGUCUCGCCGCAGCCUCUCCUGCGCAGUAGUUUGCACACUCGCAUCGGGAGCGCGGCGCGUCCACAGCCGUUAAACACCCCAAACUUCUGAAAUGUUGACCUCGGAUCAGGUAGGAAUACCCGCUGAACUUAAGCAUAUCAAUAAGCCGGAGGAA